Molecule: ribosomal RNA, 466 nt
Filed under: uncultured bacterium
Lineage: Bacteria
Description: partial 16S ribosomal RNA
Rfam family: Bacterial small subunit ribosomal RNA
Source: RNAcentral
GAUGAACGCUGGCGGCGUGCUUAACACAUGCAAGUCGAACGAUGAAGCCCAGCUUGCUGGGUGGAUUAGUGGCGAACGGGUGAGUAACACGUGAGUAACCUGCCCUUAACUCUGGGAUAAGCCUGGGAAACUGGGUCUAAUACCGGAUUGGAGCGCCUACCGCAUGGUGGGUGUUGGAAAGAUUUAUCGGUUUUGGAUGGACUCGCGGCCUAUCAGCUUGUUGGUGAGGUAAUGGCUCACCAAGGCGACGACGGGUAGCCGGCCUGAGAGGGUGACCGGCCACACUGGGACUGAGACACGGCCCAGACUCCUACGGGAGGCAGCAGUGGGGAAUAUUGCACAAUGGGCGAAAGCCUGAUGCAGCGACGCCGCGUGAGGGAUGACGGCCUUCGGGUUGUAAACCUCUUUCAGUAGGGAAGAAGCGAAAGUGACGGUACCUGCAGAAGAAGCACCGGCUAACUACGUG